Molecule: ribosomal RNA, 100 nt
Filed under: Glossina morsitans morsitans
Lineage: Eukaryota; Metazoa; Arthropoda; Insecta; Diptera; Glossinidae
Description: eukaryotic small subunit ribosomal RNA
Source: RNAcentral
AAUGAAAGCAUAAACGUGCAUUUUCUAGGUCCAAGGGUUUUGGUAAGCCGCUGAACCACUUUCAUGCUGGGAAUUGUGAACUGAAACUGUUCACGUGAGC